CGAACGCUGGCGGCGCGCCUAACACAUGCAAGUCGAACGAGCGAGAGAGAGCUUGCUUUCUCGAGCGAGUGGCGAACGGGUGAGUAACGCGUGAGGAACCUGCCUCAAAGAGGGGGACAACAGUUGGAAACGACUGCUAAUACCGCAUAAGCCCACGACCCGGCAUCGGGUAGAGGGAAAAGGAGCAAUCCGCUUUGAGAUGGCCUCGCGUCCGAUUAGCUAGUUGGUGAGGUAACGGCCCACCAAGGCGACGAUCGGUAGCCGGACUGAGAGGUUGAACGGCCACAUUGGGACUGAGACACGGCCCAGACUCCUACGGGAGGCAGCAGUGGGGAAUAUUGCACAAUGGGGGAAACCCUGAUGCAGCGACGCCGCGUGGAGGAAGAAGGUCUUCGGAUUGUAAACUCCUGUUGUGGAGGAAGAUAAUGACGGUACUCAACAAGGAAGUGACGGCUAACUACGUG
Molecule: ribosomal RNA, 464 nt
Filed under: uncultured bacterium
Lineage: Bacteria
Description: partial 16S ribosomal RNA
Rfam family: Bacterial small subunit ribosomal RNA
Source: RNAcentral